UUGAUCCAGGAGAGAUUGACGGGCAGGAGUCUUGGGACUGGAACAAGGUGUAGGGGGCUGUGGUACAUGGACUGCAGCAUGCCGGGCCAGGAGGGAUUGCACAUGCUAGCUGCAAUUGCUGAGGAUAAGGAGAUUAGAGCACUGAUCCAUCACUGUAGGAUGGGGCAUGUGUCUUUUGACAAAAUGCAUCAAGUAUUUCCUGAUGUAAUGAGUGGUGUGGACAAGAGCAAGCUGAAAUGUGAUGCAUGUGAGUUUGCUAAACAUACCAAAAACUCGUAUGUGAGUAAGGGGAUCAGGAGCAUCUCUCCUUUUGUGUUGAUCCACUCUGAUGUAUGGACAUGUCCAGUGUUAUCUGUCAGUGGUAUGAAGUACUUGUUGGGAAACGUAGCAAUUUCAAAAAAAAUUCCUAUGCACACGCAAGAUCAUGGUGAUGCAUAG
RNAcentral lists this ribosomal RNA (438 nucleotides) under Triticum aestivum (bread wheat). Its description in RNAcentral is "partial small subunit ribosomal RNA". The record is from RNAcentral. Lineage: Eukaryota; Viridiplantae; Streptophyta; Magnoliopsida; Poales; Poaceae.